This is an RNA transcript of Polistes canadensis, 3261 nucleotides long. It is a transcript of the gene named glutamate [NMDA] receptor subunit 1, with no coding region annotated. The record is from RefSeq and is a predicted model, not a curated record. NCBI's taxonomy places the organism in Eukaryota, Metazoa, Arthropoda, Insecta, Hymenoptera, Vespidae. The transcript has 18 exons.
CAAAGAGAGAAGAAAUAAAACCGGGAUUUAAUUAAACGUCAGACUUCAAUUUGUUUACCCUAUCGCAAUGGGAAAAUCUAGUAAAAUGAUAGCAUUGAUUUGUCUUCUGAUGCUUUUCGAAGACUAUAAUCAUGCCGCGAGACCAUCCAGUCACAAUAGUCCAACUUUGUUCAUGAUCGGUGGUGUCCUUUCAAACAACGAAAGCAAAACUUACUUUGCUGACACCGUGGCCCAUUUGAACUUUGAUUCGCAAUACGUGAACAAAGGUAUAACUUAUCAGCACACUGUCAUCGAAAUGGACUCCAGUCCGAUCAGGACAGCUCUCAGCGUUUGUAAAUCUCUAAUCGCUCAACAAGUUUAUGCAGUAGUGGUGUCCAAUCCUCUAACAGGUGAUUUGUCACCAGCUGCUGUUUCCUAUACCAGUGGUUUUUAUCAUAUACCUGUAAUUGGUAUCUCUUCGCGUGAUUCAGCAUUUUCCGAUAAAAACAUACACGUGUCAUUCUUACGAACCGUUCCGCCAUAUUCUCAUCAGGCUGACGUGUGGGUUGAAAUGUUGAAAUAUUUUAACUACAUGAAGAUCAUUUUCAUCCAUAGUUCGGACACCGAUGGUCGUGCUUUGCUAGGACGUUUUCAAACGACGUCGCAAAAUUUAGAAGACGACGUUGAAAUAAAAGUACACGUAGAAUCCGUUAUAGAAUUCGAGCCAGGUCUUGAUAGUUUUAUGGAACAUUUGAUGGAAAUGAAAAGUGCGCAAGCCAGAGUCUGUUUGAUGUAUGCCACAAAGACAGAUGCAAAAAUUAUCUUCAGAGAUGCAGCAUCAUUGAACAUGACCGGAGCUGGAUACGUUUGGAUCGUUACCGAGCAAGCAUUGGAUGCACCUAACGCACCAGAAGGUCUUCUUGGACUGAAAUUAAUUAACGCGAGCGCAGAGAAGGCUCACAUCAAGGACAGCCUAUACGCAUUUGUCUCUGCAUUACGAGAAAUGAACGAAAGUGAAGAAAUUACGAGCGCUCCCAAGGAUUGCGGUGAUUCCGGAACGAUAUGGGAAACUGGGAGGAAACUUUUUGAUUAUAUCCGUCAACAAGUUUUACCACAUGGAGAAACUGGCAGAGUUGCUUUUGACGACAACGGCGAUCGUAUUUUUGCCGAAUAUGAUGUUAUUAACGUUAACGAAAAUGGUCGGCAAGUUUCAGUUGGACAAUACUUUUAUCCAGCUAAUGGAACAAAAAUGAAAUUAAGGGUUAACGAGUCGAGUAUCAUUUGGCCUGGACCUUCAAAAAAUAAACCCGAAGGUUUAAUGAUACCAACGCACUUAAAGGUAUUGACAAUUGAAGAGAAACCUUUCGUUUACGUACGUGAAGCAAGCGAGAGUGAAUCUUGCCUGCCUGAUGAAAUAGCAUGUCCUCAUUUCAAGAUUGAUGAAAACGAGAAUUCGAAGACGUAUUGUUGCAAGGGUUAUUGCGUUGAUUUGUUGAAAGAAUUAUCAAAGACUAUCAAUUUCACUUAUAAUCUUGCUCUAUCCCCUGAUGGUCAAUUUGGCAGUUAUGUCAUCAAAAAUAAUUCAGUUGCAGGGAAAAAAGAAUGGACAGGACUAAUCGGAGAAUUGGUGAACGAACGAGCGGAUAUGAUCGUUGCACCAUUGACGAUUAAUCCUGAACGUGCUGAAUUCAUUGAAUUCAGCAAGCCAUUCAAAUAUCAAGGGAUAACUAUUCUGGAAAAAAAGCCAUCUAGAUCAUCAACACUGGUAUCUUUCUUACAACCAUUUAGUAACACCCUUUGGAUCUUGGUGAUGGUUUCGGUGCACGUAGUGGCGCUAGUUCUGUACCUCCUCGACCGGUUUUCACCUUUCGGGAGGUUCAAACUAGCUAAUACUGACGGCACCGAGGAAGAUGCCCUCAAUCUCUCGAGUGCCGUUUGGUUCGCAUGGGGAGUAUUAUUGAAUAGUGGAAUUGGUGAAGGUACUCCAAGAAGUUUUUCAGCUCGAGUAUUGGGCAUGGUAUGGGCAGGAUUUGCUAUGAUCAUUGUGGCAUCAUAUACAGCUAAUUUAGCUGCCUUCCUUGUCUUGGAACGUCCUAAAACUAAAUUAACUGGGAUCAAUGAUGCCCGACUCAGGAAUACUAUGGAAAAUUUAACAUGCGCUACAGUUAAGGGAUCAGCAGUGGACAUGUAUUUCAGGCGACAAGUUGAACUCUCUAAUAUGUAUCGAACGAUGGAAGCUAACAAUUACGAUACAGCUGAAGAUGCUAUACGUGAUAUCAAAAUUGGGAAAUUAAUGGCAUUCAUCUGGGAUAGCUCACGUUUAGAAUUUGAGGCAGCUCAAGAUUGCGAGUUAGUAACUGCCGGUGAAUUAUUUGGUCGUUCUGGUUACGGAAUUGGCCUACAGAAAGGUUCACCCUGGGCGGAUGCCGUGACUCUGGCAAUUUUAGACUUUCACGAAAGUGGUUUCAUGGAAAGUCUCGAUAAUCUUUGGAUACUGCAAGGAAAUCUACAACAAUGCGAACAAUUUGAAAAAACUCCGAACACUCUCGGAUUGAAAAAUAUGGCAGGAGUGUUCAUAGUGGUUGCGGUCGGUAUCAUCGGUGGUAUCGGUUUGAUUAUUAUCGAGAUGGCGUACAAGAAGCAUCAAAUUAAAAAACAGAAGAAAAUGGAACUGGCUAGGCACGCAGCCGAUAAAUGGAGAGGAACGAUCGAGUAAUCCUCAGGAAGCGACGACGAGGUAGCUGCGCUGAAGCAUGUCCAUUUCCCGAGGGACUUCCCUUCGAACCCUAGUAAUAAUAAUUACGUGAUAAUUAGCGAGUUGCACAACUGACUGUGUGUAGAAAUUAUUAUGAAGAAGUAGUUGUAGAAGCGGAAAACACUUCGAGCUUCGAUAGCUGCACAACGAAGAAUUCAAAGCAAUGGCCUGAACGACCCAACGACCGUCAGCUUGGCAGUCGAUACGGUCGCCAGAUGCACCGUCUUACCACGUAGUCCAGGAAGAGCAUGGCCUGGAGAUAGUGAUAUACGUCAACGACCAAUGUCACGUUCUGAGGACGUAAGAUUAUCACCUGCCGUUUACACCGCCGAUGUAUCUCAUCUUGUAGUUUAAUUAUUAUAUACAUACAUACACACUGUGUACUUACGUGUUCACAAAAAAUAGUUUUUUAAUAUGUACAACUCUUUCAUAUAUAUUAACGCACACUACGAACUAAAGGAAUUGUAUUAAUAGUUAAAUUUAGGUCUCGUUCAUUGAAAUAAAAGAAAAUUCUUUGAUUGUUACAA